GACGAACGCUGGCGGCGUGCCUAACACAUGCAAGUCGAGCGGGAACCUCAGGAGGGGUAACCCUUCUGAGGGGAGAGCGGCGAACGGGUGAGUAACACGUGGGCAACCUGCCCCGGACACCGGGAUAACCCAGGGAAACCUGAGCUAAUACCGGAUACUCCGGCGCGAUCGCAUGGUCGUGCCGGGAAAGCUCCGACGGUCCGGGAUGGGCCCGCGGCCUAUCAGCUAGUUGGCGGUGUAACGGACCACCAAGGCGACGACGGGUAGCUGGUCUGAGAGGAUGGCCAGCCACAUUGGGACUGAGAGACGGCCCAGACUCCUACGGGAGGCAGCAGUGGGGAAUCUUGCGCAAUGGCCGAAAGGCUGACGCAGCGACGCCGCGUGUGGGAUGAAGCAUUUCGGUGUGUAAACCACUGUUGCCCGGGACGAACACACUCUUUCGAGAGUGCUGACGGUACCGGGUGAGGAAGCACCGGCUAACUCCGUGCCAGCAGCCGCCG
Molecule: ribosomal RNA, 500 nt
Filed under: uncultured bacterium
Lineage: Bacteria
Description: bacterial SSU rRNA
Rfam family: Bacterial small subunit ribosomal RNA
Source: RNAcentral